CGUGAGUGAAGAAGGCUUUCGGGUCGUAAAGCUCUGUCAAGUGGGACAAAGGACUUUCGGUAAAUAGCCGGAAGGAUUGAUGGUACCACUAGAGGAAGCACCGGCUAACUCCGUGCCAGCAGCCGCGGUAAUACGGAGGGUGCGAGUGUUGUUCGGAAUUAUUGGGCGUAAAGAGCGUGUAGGCGGUUUGGUAAGUCAGGUGUGAAAGCCCUGGGCUUAACUCAGGAAGUGCACUUGAAACUACCUCACUUGAGUAUGGGAGAGGAGAGUGGAAUUCCCAGUGUAGAGGUGAAAUUCGUAGAUAUUGGGAGGAACACCCGUGGCGAAGGCGACUCUCUGGACCAAUACUGACGCUGAGACGCGAAAGCGUGGGGAGCAAACAGGAUUAGAUACCCUGGUAGUCCACGCCGUAAACGAUGAGAACUAGGUGUAGCGGGUAUUGACCCCUGCUGUGCCGGAGCUAACGCAUUAA
RNAcentral lists this ribosomal RNA (472 nucleotides) under uncultured delta proteobacterium. RNAcentral describes it as "bacterial SSU rRNA". It matches the Rfam family "Bacterial small subunit ribosomal RNA", at positions 400 to 863 of the family's 1533-position model. Lineage: Bacteria; Deltaproteobacteria. The record is from RNAcentral.